UAUGGUGAAUUUCAGGAGUUGCAGGAAUGCCAUUUCCAGAUGGAUAAUUAUAGUAUGACGAUGCAAGUAUCCCCCAUGUGAUUCUGUGGGUUCCUGUUGCUCCAUCACCAACAAAACAGAGCUGGAUUGAAUAUUGGUUCUUCUGUUUGUAGGUGUUUUAUUAUUUUGAAGCUUAUGUUCCUCUUGAUGUUUGCUGGAUUCAUAUAUUCCUCCCCUGAGUAGCAAUUAUAUUUUUGUUGUCAUUAUCAACAAUCUUUAGUUUGGCCGGCCUAACAGCUUGCGUGGUAGCUCUAAAUUUGUCUUCUUAGUUAUAUAAUGCUUACACUUAUUGCUAAGGAUAUUGUGAAUUUAAAUCUCGGGCGCCUGGCUGACCAAGUCGUAUGGUGCCACCAA
This is an RNA transcript of Vitis vinifera (wine grape), 393 nucleotides long. RefSeq lists it as uncharacterized. The record is from RefSeq and is a predicted model, not a curated record. The transcript is spliced from 2 exons. NCBI's taxonomy places the organism in Eukaryota, Viridiplantae, Streptophyta, Magnoliopsida, Vitales, Vitaceae.